This 473-nucleotide ribosomal RNA is filed under the name uncultured organism. RNAcentral's name for it is "partial 16S ribosomal RNA". It matches the Rfam family "Bacterial small subunit ribosomal RNA", at positions 335 to 799 of the family's 1533-position model. The record is from RNAcentral.
ACUCCUACGGGAGGCAGCAGUGGGGAAUUUUGGACAAUGGGCGCAAGCCUGAUCCAGCCAUGCCGCGUGCGGGAAGAAGGCCUUCGGGUUGUAAACCGCUUUUGUCAGGGAAGAAAAGGUUCUGGCUAAUACCUGGGACUCAUGACGGUACCUGAAGAAUAAGCACCGGCUAACUACGUGCCAGCAGCCGCGGUAAUACGUAGGGUGCAAGCGUUAAUCGGAAUUACUGGGCGUAAAGCGUGCGCAGGCGGUUAUGCAAGACAGAGGUGAAAUCCCCGGGCUCAACCUGGGAACUGCCUUUGUGACUGCAUGGCUAGAGUACGGUAGAGGGGGAUGGAAUUCCGCGUGUAGCAGUGAAAUGCGUAGAUAUGCGGAGGAACACCGAUGGCGAAGGCAAUCCCCUGGACCUGUACUGACGCUCAUGCACGAAAGCGUGGGGAGCAAACAGGAUUAGAUACCCCAGUAGUCCCAUG